CUCCCAAGGAGGAAGGAUCUCUAGCUGGAGAUUCUUCCUCUUGGAGCCUUUCUGCAAGCCCAGGAUGCAGAAAUGGAAAAGGUUUCCUUCCUUAAGUGACAUGCAUCUACUGGGUACAAACAUACAUGGCUGUAUUUUAUGAGAUGUUUUUACCUCUGGAGCCUGAAGAACAAUGACACGGAAGGCUCCGGCAGCUGCCACUUUGGUUUUGCCUCCCUCUGACUUCAGUCCUCCUGGGCCCCUUUGAAGCCACAAGGAAAAGAGCAUGAGUAAGAAGAAACGGAGGGGAACGAUAAUAAAAGAAGAUGGUUUUUUACAGCAGCCUGCUAUAAACCAACAGUCCUGGCCCUGUUUGUGGUAGCACUUGUAUUUUUAGUCUUUAAGGAAGCACAGAAGAGUAAACAGCAUUAUUGGAAUAAAUGCCUGGUGGCAGCUAUUAGCCCGGAGAAUUAUUAUGCACGCAAAUCUGAAUAACCAAAUGUGUUGGCUCUGAAAG
Molecule: long non-coding RNA, 496 nt
Filed under: Gallus gallus (chicken)
Lineage: Eukaryota; Metazoa; Chordata; Aves; Galliformes; Phasianidae
Description: lncRNA (ENSGALG00010009018.1)
Source: RNAcentral